CGCGGAGUAGAGCAGUUGGUAGCUCGUCGGGCUCAUAACCCGGAGGUCGUAGGUUCAAGUCCUUCCUCCGCAACCA
Molecule: transfer RNA, 76 nt
Filed under: Staphylococcus sp.
Lineage: Bacteria; Bacillati; Bacillota; Bacilli; Caryophanales; Staphylococcaceae
Also listed under: 6 other names
Description: tRNA-Met
Rfam family: tRNA
About the family: Transfer RNA (tRNA) molecules are approximately 80 nucleotides in length. Their secondary structure includes four short double-helical elements and three loops (D, anti-codon, and T loops). Further hydrogen bonds mediate the characteristic L-shaped molecular structure. tRNAs have two regions of fundamental functional importance: the anti-codon, which is responsible for specific mRNA codon recognition, and the 3' end, to which the tRNAs corresponding amino acid is attached (by aminoacyl-tRNA synthetases). tRNAs cope with the degeneracy of the genetic code in two manners: having more than one tRNA (with a specific anti-codon) for a particular amino acid; and 'wobble' base-pairing, i.e. permitting non-standard base-pairing at the 3rd anti-codon position.
Source: RNAcentral